UAUGGGAUGUGUAUAGAUAUUUAAUGAUCAAUAAUGAACUGAUACACUGGGCUGGAAUUGAUUGAUAGGUGAAGAAGAUUCCCGGAGUGACCAUCUUCUCCUCCUCCCACCCUCUAUACUUCUCCAACAGUGAGCUCUUCUUCACCUCACUCAGACAGGUAUAUACUGUGCGUGUGUGUGUGUGUGUAUAUAUAUAUAUAUAUAUAUAUAUAUAUAUAUAUUGGUAAUCAUACCUAACAUAAAUAAUGUAAUGAUGUGUAUUGAAAGAAAACUAAAUAAAUGUGUGUCCGUGUGUGUGUGUGUGUGUGUAUGUGUGCAGAUAGUAAAUGUAGAGAGGAAGGAGAAUCCUGCAGUAAGUUCUUCAGGGUUCAGAGAGAAUCAGCACUGUGUGAUUCUGGAGCUGAGUGCUGUUAGCUUCAUGGAUUCAACAGCCAUUAACAUGCUUACUACUCUCAUUGAGGACUUGAAUAUCAUGCAGAUCUCUCUGUUUCUUGCUGCCUGUCCAGACGGACUCUUCUCCCAGAUGAAGGAACAUGGUUUAGUUCCAGAUGGUUUGGCGAGAUCCUGCUUUUUCCACUCAGUGCACCACGCUGUCCAGCACUGGCAGAACGUGCAGGACGUGGACUCUGGUGACCUCACCGACGAUUCAACCCCAACACACAUUCACCUUCAUGAACUGGAACAGGACACCUUUGAACCUUUGACCUUUGACCUCCAGGACUGAGCUCUUCCUACUGGAUGAUUACAAAAAAAAACAUUGAGUACAUUUUUUUUUGGGAUGAAAUAUAAAUUAAUGCAUGUUUUACAAUUGUGGAACCUUUGCACCAGGUCAGAGGCAGGGUUAGCGCAGGUCGCAACGCUAACAGUCAGGCUCAGCAGGGUUGGAGCCACAAUGCUAACAGACACAGCAGCUGGGCUUGCCAGGGUUACCAUGAGUUAGCCACAGGGCAAAUAGCUAGGUUUAGCAGGGUUGUAGCCACAGUGCUAAUACACACAGCAGCUGGGGAUACACAGGGUUUUGGAGCAGAUUGCAAUGCUAAUAGCCAGGUUUAGCAGGGUUGGAGCCACAAUGCUAACAGACACAGCAGCUGGGCUUGCCAGGGUUAGCAUGAGUUAACCACAGGGCAAACAGACAGUUUUAGUAGGGUUGGAGCCGCAAUGCUAAUACAAACAGCAGCCGGGGAUACACAGGGUUGAAGCUGGUUACAAUGCUAACAGCCGGGUGUAGCAGGCUUGGGAGCAACAACUCUAAUAAAAAACAACUAGGGUUAGCA
Molecule: long non-coding RNA, 1274 nt
Filed under: Astyanax mexicanus (Mexican tetra)
Lineage: Eukaryota; Metazoa; Chordata; Actinopteri; Characiformes; Acestrorhamphidae
Description: lncRNA (ENSAMXG00005018238.1)
Source: RNAcentral